RNAcentral lists this ribosomal RNA (443 nucleotides) under uncultured bacterium. RNAcentral describes it as "partial 16S ribosomal RNA". It matches the Rfam family "Bacterial small subunit ribosomal RNA", at positions 338 to 795 of the family's 1533-position model. The record is from RNAcentral.
CCUACGGGUGGCAGCAGUGGGAAAUGUUGGGCAAUGGGCGCAAGCCUGACCCAGCAACGCUGCGUGAAGGAAGAAGGCUUUCGGGUUGUAACCUUCUUUUCUGAGGGACGAAGAAAGUGACGGUACCUCAGGAAUAAGCAACGGCUAACUACGUGCCAUCAGCCGCGGUAAUACGUAGGUGGCAAGCGUUAUCCGGAUUUAUUGGUUGUAAAGGGCGUGUAGGCGGGAAAGCAAGUCAGAUGUGAAAACUCAGGGCUCAACCCUGAGCCUGCAUUUGAAACUGUAGUUCUUGAGUGAUGGAGAGGCAGGCGGAAUGCCGGGUGGAGCGGUGAAAUGCGUAGAUAUACGGAGGAACACCAGUGGCGAAGGCGGCCUGCUGGACAUUAACUGACGCUGAGGCGCGAAAGCGUGGGGAGCAAACAGGAUUAGAUACCCCAGUAGUC